CCCCUCCUCAGCCUGCAGCCAGGCCCCGCCCCCUCCCGCGAGGCCGCUCGCUGCUCCUGCUCUUUUCUGGGCCCUUCCCAUCCCCUGCCCAGAGCGCGAGACUUUGCCCUUCGGACAGCCGUUCAGAGGGGUCACCGCAGAGCUCUGCUUCAUGUCUCCCCUCAGCAGGUGAGAAGCCUCCAUCCUUGGCCUCGGCCCUCCUCCAGGACUCAGUCUCCUGCCAAGCCUGCCCUAGGCGUCCCUCAGGCUGAACAGCAGGAGAGUGAGGUGCAGCAGGACCUUGCACUUGCCAGGUUGGUGUUAGAGAAGAUGAUGAUGAGGAGCCUGAUGAGGAUGAUGAUGACAUUGUAUUUACAAAAGAUGCGGAAGAGAUGAGUGAGGAAGAUGAGCAGGAAAUUGAUGCAGUUGAGCGCCUGAGAAGUGAAGUGGGAGAAAUAUUUGAAACAGAUCUGAAUAAUUUACAAAUGAUACACGUUAUGACUUUUCCUUCAUUUUUCAUAAUUCAAAAUGCAACAUUUGAGCAUGAAACCAAGGCAAACUGGCUAAUGCCUUAUUUCAAGAUUACAUUUCAAAAGAAGCGCAUAUUUUAGGGCUCUGUUUCCUUUGUCAGUACCACUUAAUAAUGAAAACCAUUCCAUAAAUCAAGAGCAACUGUGAGCCCUCACAGGGUCAGAGGAGGGUUAGCUGCCAGCACUUAGCCACUUGGUGGCUGAAAAAGACCAGUUACACUGAAGUGGUCACCAGAAGUGUCUAUGUGCUGUGCAUGAAUGACUUUUUUCCCACCAGAUAUAUUAGGUUCUAUGAUUUUUCUCAUUAGUAAGAAUUUGAGAAGUUUUUGAUACCAAUAAUUUCUGUACAUGGAGCUCAGAAAAUCCACAUGGUACAAUAUACAUUGAAUAUGAAACUGGUGGGUGCGUGAGUUUGUUUGAGACAUGUGAUGCAGUAUCAGCACACCUUGCCCAGAAAAUGCUUGCCUUUACCUACAAGUAUACAAGCUCAUUUGGCUACUGGGACUCUGUAAAGUUGCCAAAAACCUUGAAAGUGAAUAUGGCUUAGAACACCUGUCAGUAGGAGAAACUUUGAGAAGUGUAUUGAGCUACCAUCCAGAAACAGAGCUGGCACUUAUGUUCAACUGGCGUCUUCAUGAGGGAAUGACAGUGCCAGAUGAGCUAACUGUUCAAGCCUUGGACCUUUCCCUGAUGGACAGUGCGUGCCAUACUGCAGGGUAAGCAAGUAGGGUGAGGGAGAUGCAUAUUUCCAGAAAUGGCUCAGUGGCAAUCUCAGAUACUGAUCCUAAACAGGGGUUUAGGCUCUUGUAAAAGGCACAAGCUACUUCUCAAACAUUGAGCAAGUUUGGCCUGAGAUGCAGAAUGAUGCUCUGAUGCUCUGUAGUGAGGUCUCUAGGCUCCAGUGGAAGUCUUAUGGCAGAGGGGACCGUGAGUGAACAUAGCUAGAGAAUGCUGGGCCAUAUGUGUGUGGAUAUAUAUUUAAAUUUUCUGUUGAGGUGAAAUGUGGCUUGAAUACUCUCACGCCACAUUAGCAAGCAGGCCAUGCCACUCCCUGCAACAAUGUGAGUUGUACAAGGUCCUCCAGACCAUGUGUGGCAAACCUGUGGUGCACAUUCCUGUGGGCUCCCUGAACCCUCUCCUUUGCCACAUGAGCCAAGUCGCCCUGGCAGCUGAGGAUCACAUAAGUGUUGAUUUUCUGUAAACUAACACCUCAGUACUCAGGUUUAAUUGCAGUGUUGGCACUUUGCAAUAAAUAAGUGAGUUUUGAAAAUAAAUAAAUGUUGUCCUGGUGUGGAAGGCAGCUUGUAGGGAGGACAACUUUCCUGGGCCUCAGGAGUCUACUACUAACUUCCCUAUUACAGAAUAUAUUUGUCUGGGCUGGGGAUUUAGCCUGAUGGUUCCACUGCCUGCC
Heterocephalus glaber (naked mole-rat) is the source of this 1920-nucleotide non-coding RNA. The record is from RefSeq and is a predicted model, not a curated record. Lineage: Eukaryota; Metazoa; Chordata; Mammalia; Rodentia; Bathyergidae.